This 352-nucleotide ribosomal RNA is filed under the name uncultured bacterium. Its description in RNAcentral is "partial 16S ribosomal RNA". It matches the Rfam family "Bacterial small subunit ribosomal RNA", at positions 355 to 719 of the family's 1533-position model. The record is from RNAcentral.
UGGGGAAUAUUGCACAAUGGGCGAAAGCCUGAUGCAGCGACGCCGCGUGAGGGAUGACGGCCUUCGGGUUGUAAACCUCUUUCAGCAGGGAAGAAGCGAAAGUGACGGUACCUGCAGAAGAAGCGCCGGCUAACUACGUGCCAGCAGCCGCGGUAAUACGUAGGGCGCAAGCGUUGUCCGGAAUUAUUGGGCGUAAAGAGCUCGUAGGCGGUUAGUCGCGUCUGCUGUGAAAACUCGAGGCUCAACCUCGGGCUUGCAGUGGGUACGGGCUGACUAGAGUGCGGUAGGGGUGACUGGAAUUCCUGGUGUAGCGGUGGAAUGCGCAGAUAUCAGGAGGAACACCGAUGGCGAA